RNAcentral lists this ribosomal RNA (2901 nucleotides) under Klebsiella pneumoniae. RNAcentral describes it as "23S ribosomal RNA". It matches the Rfam family "Bacterial large subunit ribosomal RNA". The record is from RNAcentral. Lineage: Bacteria; Pseudomonadati; Pseudomonadota; Gammaproteobacteria; Enterobacterales; Enterobacteriaceae.
UUAAGCGACUAAGCGUACACGGUGGAUGCCCUGGCAGUCAGAGGCGAUGAAGGACGUGCUAAUCUGCGAAAAGCGUCGGUAAGGUGAUAUGAACCGUUAUAACCGGCGAUGUCCGAAUGGGGAAACCCAGUGCAAUUCGUUGCACUAUCGUUAACUGAAUACAUAGGUUAACGAGGCGAACCGGGGGAACUGAAACAUCUAAGUACCCCGAGGAAAAGAAAUCAACCGAGAUUCCCCCAGUAGCGGCGAGCGAACGGGGAGCAGCCCAGAGUCUGAAUCAGCUUGUGUGUUAGUGGAACGGUCUGGAAAGUCCGACGGUACAGGGUGAUAGUCCCGUACACCAAAAUGCACAGGCUGUGAACUCGAAGAGUAGGGCGGGACACGUGGUAUCCUGUCUGAAUAUGGGGGGACCAUCCUCCAAGGCUAAAUACUCCUGACUGACCGAUAGUGAACCAGUACCGUGAGGGAAAGGCGAAAAGAACCCCGGCGAGGGGAGUGAAAAAGAACCUGAAACCGUGUACGUACAAGCAGUGGGAGCACCUUCGGGUGUGACUGCGUACCUUUUGUAUAAUGGGUCAGCGACUUAUAUUCUGUAGCAAGGUUAACCGUAUAGGGGAGCCGCAGGGAAACCGAGUCUUAACUGGGCGUUAAGUUGCAGGGUAUAGACCCGAAACCCGGUGAUCUAGCCAUGGGCAGGUUGAAGGUUGGGUAACACUAACUGGAGGACCGAACCGACUAAUGUUGAAAAAUUAGCGGAUGACUUGUGGCUGGGGGUGAAAGGCCAAUCAAACCGGGAGAUAGCUGGUUCUCCCCGAAAGCUAUUUAGGUAGCGCCUCGUGAAUUCAUCUUCGGGGGUAGAGCACUGUUUCGGCUAGGGGGUCAUCCCGACUUACCAACCCGAUGCAAACUACGAAUACCGAAGAAUGUUAUCACGGGAGACACACGGCGGGUGCUAACGUCCGUCGUGAAGAGGGAAACAACCCAGACCGCCAGCUAAGGUCCCAAAGUCAUGGUUAAGUGGGAAACGAUGUGGGAAGGCACAGACAGCCAGGAUGUUGGCUUAGAAGCAGCCAUCAUUUAAAGAAAGCGUAAUAGCUCACUGGUCGAGUCGGCCUGCGCGGAAGAUGUAACGGGGCUAAACCAUGCACCGAAGCUGCGGCAGCGACACUAUGUGUUGUUGGGUAGGGGAGCGUUCUGUAAGCCUGCGAAGGUGACCUGUGAGGGUUGCUGGAGGUAUCAGAAGUGCGAAUGCUGACAUAAGUAACGAUAAAGCGGGUGAAAAGCCCGCUCGCCGGAAGACCAAGGGUUCCUGUCCAACGUUAAUCGGGGCAGGGUGAGUCGACCCCUAAGGCGAGGCCGAAAGGCGUAGUCGAUGGGAAACAGGUUAAUAUUCCUGUACUUGGUGUUACUGCGAAGGGGGGACGGAGAAGGCUAUGUUAGCCGGGCGACGGUUGUCCCGGUUUAAGCAUGUAGGCUGGUUAUCCAGGCAAAUCCGGAUAAUCAAGGCUGAGGUGUGAUGACGAGGCACUACGGUGCUGAAGUAACAAAUGCCCUGCUUCCAGGAAAAGCCUCUAAGCAUCAGGUAACAUCAAAUCGUACCCCAAACCGACACAGGUGGUCAGGUAGAGAAUACCAAGGCGCUUGAGAGAACUCGGGUGAAGGAACUAGGCAAAAUGGUGCCGUAACUUCGGGAGAAGGCACGCUGGUGUGUAGGUGAAGUCCCUGCGGAUGGAGCUGAGACCAGUCGAAGAUACCAGCUGGCUGCAACUGUUUAUUAAAAACACAGCACUGUGCAAACACGAAAGUGGACGUAUACGGUGUGACGCCUGCCCGGUGCCGGAAGGUUAAUUGAUGGGGUUAUCCGUAAGGAGAAGCUCUUGAUCGAAGCCCCGGUAAACGGCGGCCGUAACUAUAACGGUCCUAAGGUAGCGAAAUUCCUUGUCGGGUAAGUUCCGACCUGCACGAAUGGCGUAAUGAUGGCCAGGCUGUCUCCACCCGAGACUCAGUGAAAUUGAACUCGCUGUGAAGAUGCAGUGUACCCGCGGCAAGACGGAAAGACCCCGUGAACCUUUUACUAUAGCUUGACACUGAACAUUGAGCCUUGAUGUGUAGGAUAGGUGGGAGGCUUUGAAGCGUGGACGCCAGUCUGCGUGGAGCCAACCUUGAAAUACCACCCUUUAAUGUUUGAUGUUCUAACGUUGGCCCCUUACCGGGGUUGCGGACAGUGUCUGGUGGGUAGUUUGACUGGGGCGGUCUCCUCCCAAAGCGUAACGGAGGAGCACGAAGGUUAGCUAAUCCUGGUCGGACAUCAGGAGGUUAGUGCAAUGGCAUAAGCUAGCUUGACUGCGAGCGUGACGGCGCGAGCAGGUGCGAAAGCAGGUCAUAGUGAUCCGGUGGUUCUGAAUGGAAGGGCCAUCGCUCAACGGAUAAAAGGUACUCCGGGGAUAACAGGCUGAUACCGCCCAAGAGUUCAUAUCGACGGCGGUGUUUGGCACCUCGAUGUCGGCUCAUCACAUCCUGGGGCUGAAGUAGGUCCCAAGGGUAUGGCUGUUCGCCAUUUAAAGUGGUACGCGAGCUGGGUUUAGAACGUCGUGAGACAGUUCGGUCCCUAUCUGCCGUGGGCGCUGGAGAAUUGAGGGGGGCUGCUCCUAGUACGAGAGGACCGGAGUGGACGCAUCACUGGUGUUCGGGUUGUCAUGCCAAUGGCACUGCCCGGUAGCUAAAUGCGGAAGAGAUAAGUGCUGAAAGCAUCUAAGCACGAAACUUGCCCCGAGAUGAGUUCUCCCUGAGACUUUAAGUCUCCUGAAGGAACGUUAAAGACGAUGACGUUGAUAGGCCGGGUGUGUAAGCGCAGCGAUGCGUUGAGCUAACCGGUACUAAUGAACCGUGAGGCUUAACCUU